AGCGAACGCUGGCGGCAGGCUUAACACAUGCAAGUCGAGCGGGCCCUUCGGGGUCAGCGGCGGACGGGUGAGUAACGCGUCGGAACGUGCCUUCUGGUCUGGAAUAACCCUGGGAAACUAGGGCUAAUACCGGAUACGCCCUUUUGGGGAAAGGUUUACUGCCGGAAGAUCGGCCCGCGUCUGAUUAGCUAGUUGGUGGGGUAACGGCCUACCAAGGCGACGAUCAGUAGCUGGUCUGAGAGGAUGAUCAGCCACACUGGGACUGAGACACGGCCCAGACUCCUACGGGAGGUAGCAGUGGGGAAUAUUGGACAAUGGGCGCAAGCCUGAUCCAGCCAUGCCGCGUGAGUGAUGAAGGCCUUAGGGUUGUAAAGCUCUUUUAUCCGGGACGAUAAUGACGGUACCGGAGGAAUAAGCCCCGGCUAACUUCGUG
RNAcentral lists this ribosomal RNA (433 nucleotides) under uncultured bacterium. RNAcentral's name for it is "partial 16S ribosomal RNA". It matches the Rfam family "Bacterial small subunit ribosomal RNA", at positions 29 to 507 of the family's 1533-position model. The record is from RNAcentral.